Rattus norvegicus (Norway rat) is the source of this 482-nucleotide long non-coding RNA. RefSeq lists it as uncharacterized. The record is from RefSeq and is a predicted model, not a curated record. Lineage: Eukaryota; Metazoa; Chordata; Mammalia; Rodentia; Muridae.
CAGAAAGAGGUUGAAGAAGAGGAUGGUACUCGCACAUCCAAUGAGACCAUAAAAGAUCAGAAAAACCUUCCCUCCCGUUGUGGCUGGGGUCGUCAUCCCGAACCCUGAAGAAGACAAAAGCCAGAGGAGAAAAGAGGUGGUCACCUGCCAACACGCUCCACGUGAUGGUCUUUUGCAAGCAGGCACAGUUGACCUAGUGGAAAUGGUGACCCCUGACCUCAGAGCCUACAGCAAGGAUUCUGGGGAGAAGAGCUCUGGGCAUGUUCAGGGCUCCCCGGCCACGCAACCAGGCAGAUUGCCUGUCUACCUGAAGAGUCGUCCCUUAUAUACCAUCUCUCAAGUGACACAGGCAUUGCAGGUUGAUUGAACGUACUCUGCAGGAUCCCAACGGAGCCGGAAGGAAGCAGUGUUUACCACCCUGGGCUCUAAUGCCCACAGUAAACGCUGCACGCGCAGAUGCUACACGUUCUUCCUAAAGUUAA